ACAAAACCCAAAACAAUAAAUGAAUCACGAAUCCAGCUAUGCAAUUUCUGUCCAUUCCUAAAUUAACAAAGGGACUAAAAAAAAAUUGCCGCAAAUAUACAUGUGUUGCCCAAUUGAAGGAGGACAUAAUCCACGCAGCCAUAUAACAAAUACUAGGAACCAAGUUGAACAGGCUGUGUUGGUAAGUAAAGAGAGCUCUCCCCUAGAAUAUUACUACACUCUUCACUUUAAUGGAAAGCGAGAGAGAGAGAGAGAGAGAGAG
Molecule: unclassified non-coding RNA, 262 nt
Filed under: Hevea brasiliensis (rubber tree)
Lineage: Eukaryota; Viridiplantae; Streptophyta; Magnoliopsida; Malpighiales; Euphorbiaceae
Source: RNAcentral